UGGUUCGACCUCUCCUGGUUCGAUCGAUCCCCACGCAAAGAAAAGUUGAGGAGAAACCCCUCGACAAGGAAAAACUGUCACGACCUCCACUUCUCCCACGACCUGCCAGUCUCAUCUCUCAUCUCCUGAUCUCUCUCCCCCGAUCCAGAAACACCCCGGCGGCCCCUGUCUCCCGGCUCCCGGGACCACCCGAGCACACUCCCUCUCCACCUUUUCUCCCUACUACCUCCACUAGCACCGCCCCCAUCCAUGAAACCGCCGUGCAUCUAUUCUGCGCAUCCAGCUACGCGCCGCCGACUAGGGAAGCCGAAAAGAGGAACUGCUGCCACCUCCGAUGGUAUCCUUCCUCGGCCAGGUAGGAACCUCCAUGUGCGGCCUGAGAUCUACAAUGAUGGGUGCAUCCGGUGCCUGGGUGUAUCAGGCGGCAGGGGGGGCGCCAUGGCGCCGAGAACUGGUCCAGCACCAUUGUCUCACAUAAGGACGGCCUGUCUCUUCCUCCUCCCCGCUCAAAUUUUUAUGGCAGCUGCCUAGGAGCUUCUUCUUCCUUUAUCUUGAUUUGUUACUCACACCCCUGGUACAAAUCUUCAGUUUUACUCCUAUAUUUCAAUCGACUGAUUUUGAUUGGUGCUAAGACGAAUUUUGUGGCCAUGUCCGAUGGAAGGCGCGAAUAUAGGCCUCCUCGGACGAUCGGGUCCGUACGUAUCUCGUCUCCAUCAGUCACAACCAUGAGUGGACGAGCUGGUGGUAGGAAGCAAUGGAGGGGGUGGGCAUGGCGGCAAGGUCAGCAGGGAGACCCCAUCGCAUGCGCCCCAGCGAAAGCAGUAGGGGAAGGUGCCAUUGGCGAGACAGGACAGUACAAAAUUCACAUCCAAUUGAUAGAUAUACUGCUGGUUCUUCAUCUGGUUGCCUUGCCUAAAGUUUUAUAAAGGAAAUGGGGAACUAUACUAUUUACGAGCCCUGUUACCGCUAAGAUCCUUGUACUGGUAGUUUGUGCUAUAAAGAAAGAAGCGUCACUUUGGGCUACUACGGGUGCUCACGAAAGUAAUUUGUUCGUGUUGUGUCGCUGUGGCGGUGUGUCUUAUUACAAACUCUUCUUCUUAAUCAAUGAAGGCUACUACGGGUGCUCACGAAAGUAA
Molecule: long non-coding RNA, 1136 nt
Organism: Triticum dicoccoides
Lineage: Eukaryota; Viridiplantae; Streptophyta; Magnoliopsida; Poales; Poaceae
Exons: 2
Source: RefSeq, a predicted model, not a curated record